GAGGGUAUAGCUCAGUGGUAGAGCGUGUGCUUAGCAUGCAUGUGGUCUGAGUUCAAUCCCCAGUACUGCCA
RNAcentral lists this transfer RNA (71 nucleotides) under Camelus dromedarius (Arabian camel). It matches the Rfam family "tRNA". From Rfam's summary of the family: Transfer RNA (tRNA) molecules are approximately 80 nucleotides in length. Their secondary structure includes four short double-helical elements and three loops (D, anti-codon, and T loops). Lineage: Eukaryota; Metazoa; Chordata; Mammalia; Artiodactyla; Camelidae. The record is from Rfam by way of RNAcentral. RNAcentral also lists the same sequence under 1 other name.